This 440-nucleotide ribosomal RNA is filed under the name uncultured bacterium. RNAcentral's name for it is "partial 16S ribosomal RNA". It matches the Rfam family "Bacterial small subunit ribosomal RNA", at positions 338 to 795 of the family's 1533-position model. The record is from RNAcentral.
CCUACGGUAGGCAGCAGUGGGGGAUAUUGCACAAUGGGGGGAACCCUGAUGCAGCGACGCCGCGUGGGUGAAGAAGCGCCUCGGCGCGUAAAGCCCUGUCAGCAGGGAAGAAAAUGACGGUACCUGCAGAAGAAGCCCCGGCUAACUACGUGCCAGCAGCCGCGGUAAUACGUAGGGGGCAAGCGUUAUCCGGAUUUACUGGGUGUAAAGGGGGCGCAGACGGCGAUGCAAGCCAGGAGUGAAAGCCCGGGGCGCAACCCCGGGACUGCUCUUGGAACUGCGUUGCUGGAGUGCAGGAGGGGCAGGCGGAAUUCCUGGUGUAGCGGUGAAAUGAGUAGAUAUCAGGAGGAACACCGGUGGCGAAGGCGGCCUGCUGGAGUGCAACUGACGUUGAGGCCCGAAAGCGUGGGGAGCAAACAGGAUUAGAUACCCCUGUAGUC